Molecule: unclassified non-coding RNA, 405 nt
Filed under: Hevea brasiliensis (rubber tree)
Lineage: Eukaryota; Viridiplantae; Streptophyta; Magnoliopsida; Malpighiales; Euphorbiaceae
Source: RNAcentral
CAAGAUUUUGAUGCAGUCAUGAACAAGGGGUUCUUCCAUGGAUACUCCUUGAUUACAGUUCUCAUGAUUCUCAAUCAUGCACUCAGUGGCAUUGCUGUAUCCAUGGUAAUGAAGUAUGCGGACAACAUUGUAAAGGUCUAUGCUACUUCAGUGGCGAUGCUUCUCACAGCAAUUGUGUCUGUGUUUCUAUUUGGCUUUCAUCUAUCCCUUGCUUUCUUCCUCGGCUCAACUGUUGUCUCUGUCUCCGUUUAUCUGCACUCCAUCGGCAAGUUAACAAGACAACGAUAGUGACUUCUUAUGAUCUCUGCGAAAUCCAGUGUAAAAGUUUCUACUAAAUUUUUUUUGUUCUUAAUUUUUUUCCCCUACACAGUUGUCUUGUGUACUCAAAUGGGUAUACCCAAGAUA